This 305-nucleotide long non-coding RNA is filed under the name Mytilus galloprovincialis (Mediterranean mussel). Lineage: Eukaryota; Metazoa; Mollusca; Bivalvia; Mytilida; Mytilidae. The record is from RNAcentral.
AAUAGUUAUCAAAAGUACCAGGAUUAUAAUUUUAUACGCCAGACGCGCGUUUCGUCUACAUAAGACUCAUCAGUGACGCUCAGAUCAAAAUAGUUAAAAAGUCAAACAAAUACAAAGUUGAAGAGCAUUGAGGACCCAAAAUUCCAAAAAGUUGUGCCAAAUACGGCUAAGGUAAUCUACUCCUGGGGUAAGAAAAUCCUUAGUUUUUCGAAAAAUUCAAAGUUUUGUAAACAGAACAUUUAUAAAAUGACCAUAUAAUUGAUAUUCAUGUCAACACCGAAGUGCUGACUACUGGGCUGGUGAUA